CCGGACUCCGAAGGGGAGUAGCUGCCACAGUAAAGUCGUCAAUACGAGAGCCCGCUCUCCGGCUUUACUGGCAAUGCCGAACCGCAUUGUUAGCGAGACCUUUGUGCAUCCG
This 112-nucleotide small RNA is filed under the name Paenibacillus sp. P22. RNAcentral's name for it is "yybP-ykoY leader". The record is from RNAcentral. Lineage: Bacteria; Bacillati; Bacillota; Bacilli; Caryophanales; Paenibacillaceae.